GAUGAACGCUGGCGGCGUGCCUAAUACAUGCAAGUCGAGCGAACGGACGAGAAGCUUGCUUUUCUGAUGUUAGCGGCGGACGGGGGAGUAACACGUGGAUAACCUACCUAUAAGACUGGGAUAACUUCGGGAAACCGGAGCUAAUACCGGAUAAUAUUUUGAACCGCAUGGUUCAAAAGUGAAAGACGGUCUUGCUGUCACUUAUAGAUGGAUCCGCGCUGCAUUAGCUAGUUGGUAAGGUAACGGCUUACCAAGGCAACGAUGCAUAGCCGACCUGAGAGGGUGGUCGGCCACACUGGAACUGAGACACGGUCCAGACUCCUACGGGAGGCAGCAGUAGGGAAUCUUCCGCAAUGGGCGAAAGCCUGACGGAGCAACGCCGCGUGAGUGAUGAAGGUCUUCGGAUCGUAAAGCUCUGUUAUUAGGGAAGAACAUAUGUGUAAGUAGCUGUGCACAUCUUGACGGUACCUAAUCAGAAAGCCACGGCUAACUACGUG
RNAcentral lists this ribosomal RNA (497 nucleotides) under uncultured bacterium. Its description in RNAcentral is "partial 16S ribosomal RNA". It matches the Rfam family "Bacterial small subunit ribosomal RNA", at positions 28 to 507 of the family's 1533-position model. The record is from RNAcentral.